Non-coding RNA from Clostridium sp. CAG:417, 612 nucleotides. The record is from Rfam. NCBI's taxonomy places the organism in Bacteria, Bacillati, Bacillota, Clostridia, Eubacteriales, Clostridiaceae.
AGUUUGAAAUAGUUUAAUGGCGCAUUAUUCUAGUCAACUUAUUUGUUAUGAGGACGGGGAUAAACUAUCGUUAAAGAGCACAUCUAUGAAACCUCUGGUGUUUGCUUCUGAUGCCCAAUUGGGGGUUAAUGCUGGAGAUGAAAAUUAUGGGCCGGAUGUAAUGGCAUAUAUCUUUGGACCCAUAGUUUGUGGAGACCUAAUUUUGUAGUAAGCCUAUACGGACAUAUUCUGACGGACUUAUUAUGAGUUAGGAGUAAAAACCUACUUUGUGGCGAAAGUUAUGAGUAGCGUAGCUUGUCUUGAGUGAGAGCUUUGGAAUUAGGUUAAGGACUUCUUGUUUUGGCCAAAAAUAAGUUUUCUAUACUAUGAAAUUACUCUUGCAAAAAAGGAUUAAUAACAAAGAUUGUUGGGGAGGAAAUCUCCUAGAGUGUAUCUAAAUGUGAGAUUAAAGUUGGUACUAAGUGGUAAUCAAGUUGUAUGAAUGGUGACAUCAUACUGAUUUCUUUAAAGGGGAACCGCAAUACUGGUAACGGUAUGUAGAAAUUGGGGAAAGCCUACUUGACCUAAGACUAAGGAUUUAUCAUGUUUAGAGCCAUUAUUAUAAUUAUUAUG